Molecule: ribosomal RNA, 492 nt
Filed under: uncultured bacterium
Lineage: Bacteria
Description: partial 16S ribosomal RNA
Rfam family: Bacterial small subunit ribosomal RNA
Source: RNAcentral
AGUGAACGCUGGCGGUAGGCCUAACACAUGCAAGUCGAACGGCAGCACAGUAAGAGCUUGCUCUUACGGGUGGCGAGUGGCGGACGUGUGAGGAAUACAUCGUAAUCUACUUUUUCGGGGGGGAUAACGUAGGGAAACUUACGCUAAUACCGCAUACGACCUACGGUUGAAAGCAGUGGAUCUUCUGACCUUGCGCGAUUGAAUGAGCCGAUGUCGGAUUAGCUAGUUGGCGGGGUAAUGGCCCACCAAGGCGACGAUCCGUAGCUGGUCUGAGAGGAUGAUCAGCCACACUGGAACUGAGACACGGUCCAGACUCCUAAGGGAGGCAGCAGUGGGGAAUAUUGGACAAUGGGCGCAAGCCUGAUCCAGCCAUACCGCGUGGGUGAAGAAGGCCUUCGGGUUGUAAAGCCCUUUUGUUGGGAAAGAAAAGCAGCAGGUUAAUACCCCGCUGUUCUGACGGUACCCAAAGAAUAAGCACCGGCUAACUUCGUG